Molecule: long non-coding RNA, 208 nt
Filed under: Mytilus galloprovincialis (Mediterranean mussel)
Lineage: Eukaryota; Metazoa; Mollusca; Bivalvia; Mytilida; Mytilidae
Source: RNAcentral
UAAAUUUCUUUUUAUUUAUGUUUUUAACAGUUAUAGUGACUAUAUAAUUAACAUUACACCCAAGAUUUCCACCAUUAUUGGCAAUUUGACUUACAUCAUGGAUAUGUAAAAGGAUAACUGAAUAGUCUUCAAGGACAUAAGCGGGUAAAAGCUACUGUCUAAUAUAUAAGAAUGGUUCUUUUUCAAAUCUAAAAAUGUUUGGCAUUGU